Molecule: small nuclear RNA, 267 nt
Filed under: Castor canadensis (American beaver)
Lineage: Eukaryota; Metazoa; Chordata; Mammalia; Rodentia; Castoridae
Description: 7SK RNA (ENSCCNG00000028417.1)
Rfam family: 7SK RNA
About the family: 7SK was discovered as an abundant small nuclear RNA in the mid-70s but a possible function has only recently been suggested.
Source: Rfam by way of RNAcentral
GUAUGUGAGGGUGGUCUGACUGUGACAUGCUGAUCUUAAUGGCUAGGCAGGUGUCCCCUUCCUCCCUCACUACUCCAGGUGCAUCCCACCCUAAGCUGUGCUCUCAGACAAAGGGAAUGACCAUUCCCAAUAGAGGAGGACCAUUCUUUUGUCAAGGGUAUAGGAGUAGCUGUGCUCCCCUGCUUGAACCUCCAAACAAGCUCUCAAGGGUUGGUGGAGUGGCUCAAGUAAUAGAGAGCCUGUCUAGCAAGGCAGAGGCCCUGAGUU